UAGGGAAUCUUCCACAAUGGGCGCAAGCCUGAUGGAGCAACACCGCGUGAGUGAAGAAGGGUUUCGGCUCGUAAAGCUCUGUUGUUGGAGAAGAACGUGCGUGAGAGUAACUGUUCACGCAGUGACGGUAUCCAACCAGAAAGUCACGGCUAACUACGUGCCAGCAGCCGCGGUAAUACGUAGGUGGCAAGCGUUAUCCGGAUUUAUUGGGCGUAAAGCGAGCGCAGGCGGUUGCUUAGGUCUGAUGUGAAAGCCUUCGGCUUAACCGAAGAAGUGCAUCGGAAACCGGGCGACUUGAGUGCAGAAGAGGACAGUGGAACUCCAUGUGUAGCGGUGGAAUGCGUAGA
This 347-nucleotide ribosomal RNA is filed under the name uncultured Lactobacillus sp. RNAcentral's name for it is "bacterial SSU rRNA". It matches the Rfam family "Bacterial small subunit ribosomal RNA", at positions 355 to 694 of the family's 1533-position model. The record is from RNAcentral. Lineage: Bacteria; Bacillati; Bacillota; Bacilli; Lactobacillales; Lactobacillaceae.